This 400-nucleotide ribosomal RNA is filed under the name uncultured bacterium. RNAcentral's name for it is "bacterial SSU rRNA". It matches the Rfam family "Bacterial small subunit ribosomal RNA", at positions 772 to 1171 of the family's 1533-position model. The record is from RNAcentral.
ACUGAAUAGAUACCCCGGUAGUCCACGCUGUAAACGAUGAUUACUCGAUGUUGGCGAUACACAGUCAGCGUCUGAGCGAAAGCAAUAAGUAAUCCACCUGGGGAGUACGAUCGCAAGAUUGAAACUCAAAGGAAUUGACGGGGGUCCCGCACAAGCGGAGGAGCAUGUGGUUUAAUUCGAUGAUACGCGAGGAACCUUACCUGGGCUCGAACGUAAGAUGACUGUAGGUGAAAGCUUACAUCUCUUCGGAGCAUUUUAACGAGGUGCUGCAUGGUUGUCGUCAGCUCGUGCCGUGAGGUGUCGGGUUAAGUCCCAUAACGAGCGCAACCCCGUACCUUUAGUUGCCAACAGGUCAUGCUGGGGUACUCUAAACGGAACUGCCUACGCAAGUAGUGAGGAA